GUAAUUCAUACGGAAUUCCCCUGUUUGGAAAGCCAUUUAAGUCCACAACCUAAAGCAACUGCGCCAGUCGCUCGGCUGAGAAGGCAGAGAGACGGUUGCGCACGCUUGUGGCUGCGGAUCUCCCUGAUAGUGCUGGAUGACGGGAUGUCUCUUCCAUGGCCUGAGUCCUUUCUGUCAUUAGGAGAAGAGCAGAGCAAAAGCCCUAUGGAAAGACUCACCUGAUAUUGCAGAACACAUGUGCUUACAUUUCUUAGCCAUAUUCAGGCUCUCCAUGGGACUUCCUGGACAUCUCCCCUGUUUUCACGUGUCUGCACGCACCAAAUCA
This is a long non-coding RNA of Cyprinodon tularosa, 325 nucleotides long. RefSeq lists it as uncharacterized. The transcript has 3 exons. The record is from RefSeq and is a predicted model, not a curated record. Lineage: Eukaryota; Metazoa; Chordata; Actinopteri; Cyprinodontiformes; Cyprinodontidae.